This is a long non-coding RNA of Poecilia latipinna (sailfin molly), 539 nucleotides long. RefSeq lists it as uncharacterized. The record is from RefSeq and is a predicted model, not a curated record. The transcript is spliced from 2 exons. NCBI's taxonomy places the organism in Eukaryota, Metazoa, Chordata, Actinopteri, Cyprinodontiformes, Poeciliidae.
GACUUCCUGAAGGUGGAGCUCCAGAAAGAGCAGGAGUUUUUAAAGAGACAGUGUUAGGAUUCGGGUUGGUGUGAGUGCUCUUUCCUAUAGAGGAUCUUCGGAGGAGUUCUGACAGGCUGGCGCACCGGCAGCUGAUUCCGAGUGAUUGAGUGGUGGACCUUUAAGAAGCAGAGGAGCAGUCACUCAUCGCUCGAUGGUCCCACUUGUUGAAAACGACAAGCUGUCAAAAUCAAGCCAGGAACCACGUCUGGACUUUAAGAUCGCUUCCUGCCAAGACCAAACAUCUCCGCCUGCCGCGCUCCUUCCCUCUCCAUCAUUGGUCCUCAGAGACGCUCCCGGAUUCUAGCCUUUUUCCCUCCGCGCAACCUCCAUCCGAAAGACAGUAAGCUUAUUCCUCUAAACCAAUCAAGAUCCCUCAUCUCCGGUCCCUUCUAACAUCUCCCUUCUCUGAACAGAACCCGAGCUGACCUGCCUACCCAUCCUCUGGAGCACAAUUUGACUGCACUGUUUAAAAUACAUUAAACUUUCACUGAACAGUG